CCUACGGGAGGCAGCAGUGAGGAAUAUUGGUCAAUGGGCGCGAGCCUGAACCAGCCAAGUAGCGUGAAGGAUGACUGCCCUACGGGUUGUAAACCUCUUUUGCCGGGGAGCAAGGGCCGGGACGAGUCCCGGUCCGGAGAGUACCCGGAGAAAAAGCAUCGGCUAACUCCGUGCCAGCAGCCGCGGUAAUACGGAGGAUGCGAGCGUUAUCCGGAUUUAUUGGGUUUAAAGGGUGCGUAGGCGGGCUUUUAAGUCAGCGGUAAAAAUUCGGGGCUCAACCCCGUCCGGCCGUUGAAACUGGGGGCCUUGAGUGGGCGAGAAGAAGGCGGAAUGCGUGGUGUAGCGGUGAAAUGCAUAGAUAUCACGCAGAACCCCGAUUGCGAAGGCAGCCUUCCGGCGCCCUACUGACGCUGAGGCACGAAAGUGUGGGGAUCGAACAGGAUUAGAUACCCCAGUAGUC
RNAcentral lists this ribosomal RNA (460 nucleotides) under uncultured bacterium. Its description in RNAcentral is "partial 16S ribosomal RNA". It matches the Rfam family "Bacterial small subunit ribosomal RNA", at positions 338 to 795 of the family's 1533-position model. The record is from RNAcentral.